GGAAGUAGUCCUGUCUCCUGGAGGGCAGCCCUGGAAACGGGUGGUGAUGGAUGCAAAUCAGCACAGGUGUGCAACAUUGAUCCUGACCUGCAGGGUGUGCAAGUGAUGCCAGUAUUUCUUGUAGCUGUACUAAGGUUUUGUACCACAGGGCAAACAAAUAAAGGAACCCUAAGGGACACGUUUCCAGUUAAAUUGUAUGUGGGAUGGCAGUGUGAGGUUUGGCUUCCCAAUUUUCAUCAACCUGCAUUGGACACAUGUGAAGAAAUGAAAUACAAGAUGCUGAACGAGUUAGGAGUGACAGACGUACCAGAGGCCACUCUGGUGGAUACAGACAGCACCAUCUACUCUCCUUUCCUGUUCAACACAGGUAAAGCCUUUGUAUCUUUCCACAGGAAGCAGAUCUACGUAUAAUCUGAUAAACAAAGAGAAUGUUCUUUGUUUUUCUAACCAAAUAUUAUUGUUAUAGGGUCACCUUGAGAGGAUUCACACCUCACUUCCUGAAGUUUUCUGCACUGUUCCAAGACUAGACUCCCAUGGAGAGAGCUACACUUCUCCGCACACACAACACCAUAAAAUCUGGAAAGUAGGCAGCAGAAAAGGACUUGAGAAACCUUUUUGUGAGAUGGUUUAUGGAGUGGCAUAUGAGCACACAUAAACCUAGACAGAUAUACAAACAUGGACUUGUUUACCCUGGUUAAAAUUCUGAACCUUCUGAAUUCUGCCAUUCAUCAGAAAACAUUUCAUCAUUCACAGACCCCUUACAAAAUAUGCACAUAUUUUCCAGGAAAUGUAAGUAGAAAAUGACAUACCAGUGGAGUUAAAUAAAACCCUAUCUGUGUAGAAGACAUUUGACUCAUUAUUCAAAAU
This 867-nucleotide long non-coding RNA is filed under the name Cricetulus griseus (Chinese hamster). RNAcentral's name for it is "lncRNA (ENSCGRG00000026332.1)". Lineage: Eukaryota; Metazoa; Chordata; Mammalia; Rodentia; Cricetidae. The record is from RNAcentral.